GGUGGAGUCGCAAGGUGAAAUACCGUUCUGUUCAUAUCUGGCGUCUAACCUCGGACAGUGAUCCUGUCCAGGGACAGUGCCUGGCGGGUAGUUUAACUGGGGCGGUUGCCUCCCAAAGAGUAACGGAGGCGCCCAAAGGUUCCCUCGGCCCGGUUGGCAAUCGGGUGUUGAGUGUAAUCGCACAAGGGAGCUUGACUGCGAGGGCGACGGCCCGAGCAGGGACGAAAGUCGGGGAUAGUGAUCCGGUGCCGGCGCGCGGGCGCGGCAUCGCUCAACGGAUAAAAGGUACCCCGGGGAUAACAGGCUGAUCAUUCCCAAGAGUCCAUAUCGACGGGAUGGUUUGGCACCUCGAUGUCGGCUCGUCGCAUCCUGGGGCUGGAGCAGGUCCCAAGGGUUCGGCUGUUCGCCGAUUAAAGCGGCACGCGAGCUGGGUUCAGAACGUCGUGAGACAGUUUGGUCUCUAUCCUCUGCGCUCGUUGGAAUCUUGAGGAGUCCUGCCCAUAGUACGAGAGGACCUGGGUGGACGGACCUCUGGUUUGCCGGUUGUCGCGCCAGCGGCAUGGCCGGUUGGCUACGUUCGGAAGGGAUAACCGCUGAAAGCAUCUAAGCGGGAAGCCUUCUCCAAGAUGAGGAUUCCUUGACACGUGAGUGUUGUGACCCCCCAUGUGGAUGACGUGGUGGAUAGGCCGGGUGUGGAAGCCGUGCGAGCGGUGGAGCUGACCGGUACUAACGGGGGAACGGCAAUCCCAU
RNAcentral lists this ribosomal RNA (750 nucleotides) under Bifidobacterium vespertilionis. RNAcentral describes it as "partial 23S ribosomal RNA". It matches the Rfam family "Bacterial large subunit ribosomal RNA", at positions 2179 to 2925 of the family's 2925-position model. The record is from RNAcentral. Lineage: Bacteria; Bacillati; Actinomycetota; Actinomycetes; Bifidobacteriales; Bifidobacteriaceae.